ACUCCUACGGGAGGCAGCAGUGGGGAAUAUUGCACAAUGGGCGCAAGCCUGAUGCAGCCAUGCCGCGUGUGUGAAGAAGGCCUUCGGGUUGUAAAGCACUUUCAGUAAGGAGGAAAGGUUAGUAGUUAAUACCUGCUAGCUGUGACGUUACUUACAGAAGAAGCACCGGCUAACUCCGUGCCAGCAGCCGCGGUAAUACGGAGGGUGCGAGCGUUAAUCGGAAUUACUGGGCGUAAAGCGUACGCAGGCGGUUUGUUAAGCGAGAUGUGAAAGCCCGC
RNAcentral lists this ribosomal RNA (278 nucleotides) under uncultured bacterium. RNAcentral's name for it is "partial 16S ribosomal RNA". It matches the Rfam family "Bacterial small subunit ribosomal RNA", at positions 335 to 605 of the family's 1533-position model. The record is from RNAcentral.